RNAcentral lists this non-coding RNA (24 nucleotides) under Drosophila melanogaster (fruit fly). RNAcentral also lists the same sequence under 1 other name. The record is from RNAcentral. Lineage: Eukaryota; Metazoa; Arthropoda; Insecta; Diptera; Drosophilidae.
CCUCGGAUCAGGUAGGGAUACCCG